AAGCCGGAAGAAGGUAAGCCCCACACUUUGGAGACAGCGACCUUUGACUAAAGGCCUGUGGGAAAAUCUCAUUUUCAUUUUCAUUUUCAUUCUGUUCUCAUUCUCAUUCUCUUCCAUCCAGAUGACAUCAUCAUUGAAGAUUUAUAGGUAGUGCGGACCUCGGGCUCCACUGGACACCUGAGAGAGGCCAACAUCCAAAUGCACUCAGCACGUAAGACUUUCUCAAAAGCCCAUCUGUAGUUAGAGAUGCCCUGUUUCAUCUGUGAGAGAAGCAGGCACUCCUGGCGACCUGCUUACCUUUUUUCUCUUGCAGGUGACAGAACGAUGCCGGCAAGACCUCCUUCUCCAUCUUUUCAUGGGGCAGAAGGGAAGCAGUGGCUGUGGGACCAGAUCAGGUUAUAUGAUCUAUUCCCUGUGUAACUCCACGUGUCAAGAAGAAAAAGAACUGGAAGAGAAUGGAAUAAAAAUAAAUAUUUUUUAAUGGAUUUUGAAUAAAUGCACAAUAAAUUGUUACUGUUUUGAA
This is a long non-coding RNA of Podarcis raffonei (Aeolian wall lizard), 523 nucleotides long. RefSeq lists it as uncharacterized. Lineage: Eukaryota; Metazoa; Chordata; Lepidosauria; Squamata; Lacertidae. The transcript has 2 exons. The record is from RefSeq and is a predicted model, not a curated record.